ACGAACGCUGGCGGCAUGCCUAACCCCUGCAAGUCGAACGAGACCUUCGGGUCUAGUGGCGCACGGGUGCGUAACGCGUGGGAACCUGCCCUUAGGUUCGGAAUAACUCCCCGAAAGGGGUGCUAAUACCGGAUAAUGCCUUCGGACCAAAGAUUUAUCGCCUUUGGAUGGGCCCGCGUUGGAUUAGCUAGUUGGUAGGGUAAAAGCCUACCAAGGCGACGAUCCAUAGCUGGUCUGAGAGGAUGAUCAGCCACACUGGGACUGAGACACGGCCCAGACUCCUACGGGAGGCAGCAGUGGGGAAUAUUGGACAAUGGGCGAAAGCCUGAUCCAGCAAUGCCGCGUGAGUGAUGAAGGCCUUAGGGUUGUAAAGCUCUUUUACCCGGGAUGAUAAUGACAGUACCGGGAGAAUAAGCUCCGGCUAACUCCGUG
RNAcentral lists this ribosomal RNA (432 nucleotides) under uncultured bacterium. Its description in RNAcentral is "partial 16S ribosomal RNA". It matches the Rfam family "Bacterial small subunit ribosomal RNA", at positions 29 to 507 of the family's 1533-position model. The record is from RNAcentral.